UGUUAGCUGUUUAGAGUAGAAGAGGCAACUCUGCAGUCCAAGCCCAUCUGGAGGGAGGUGAGGGGGGCACCCCCCAAUUGAGAAAUUCUCAUUGAAUUCAGUGGGGGUUUAUUCCCAGGUAUCAGGAAGAUUGUGUUGCUUGCAAGUGCAACUGAAAAAUCACUUGACAUUAGAUGGGACGUCAAAAGCUAUGUCCAGGGUCGGACGAAACAGCGGGUGGUUCGAUUCAACCCUGGACCAUGGAACCGAACUAGCUCGAGGUCGAACCUGUUCGCACAUCCUGGCUGCAUUACUUGUACUAUGCGACCAGAGGGAAGUCUAAAAGGUGCGUGUUUGCCCAGUUAGCAGAGACGUGCUUUCCUGUUAAGUUAGUUGUCACCAUGUGGUCAAUACUUUUCACUCAUUCAAAUUUGUAAGCACAUUAAUAAAAAUACACAUCAGAAAUCUUCAUGUAUCUCCAGAAAUCAGGAGUUUGAGAUAAAUCCUGAGA
Hemicordylus capensis (graceful crag lizard) is the source of this 490-nucleotide long non-coding RNA. RefSeq lists it as uncharacterized. NCBI's taxonomy places the organism in Eukaryota, Metazoa, Chordata, Lepidosauria, Squamata, Cordylidae. The record is from RefSeq and is a predicted model, not a curated record. The transcript has 3 exons.